This 553-nucleotide ribosomal RNA is filed under the name uncultured archaeon. RNAcentral's name for it is "bacterial SSU rRNA". It matches the Rfam family "Archaeal small subunit ribosomal RNA", at positions 326 to 879 of the family's 1478-position model. The record is from RNAcentral.
CGGGGUGCAGCAGGCGCGAAAACUCUACAAUGCAGGCAACUGCGAUAGGGGAACAUCGAGUGAUCCUCAUAUUGGGGGUCUGUCCACCCGUCUAAAAAACGGGUGUUAGCAAGGGCCGGGCAAGACCGGUGCCAGCCGCCGCGGUAAUACCGGCGGCUCGAGUGGUGGCCGAUAUUAUUGAGUCUAAAGGGUCCGUAGCCGGCUUUGCAAGUCUCUCGGGAAAUCCAGCGGCUUAACCGUUGGUCGUCCGGGGGGUACUACAUUGCUUGGGACUGGGAGAGGUAGGAGGUACUCAGGGGGUAGGAGUGAAAUCCUGUAAUCCUCUGGGGACCACCGGUGGCGAAGGCGUCCUACCAGAACAGGUCCGACGGUGAGGGACGAAAGCUAGGGGCACGAACCGGAUUAGAUACCCGGGUAGUCCUAGCCGUAAACGAUGCUCGUUAGGUGUCACAACAGUCGUGAACUGUUGUGGUGCCGUAGGGAAGCCGUGAAGCGAGCCACUUGGGAAGUACGACCGCAAGGUUGAAACUUAAAGGAAUUGGCGGGGGAGCAC